GCUUGUCUCAAAGAUUAAGCCAUGCAUGUCUAAGUAUAAACAACUUUAUACUGUGAAACUGCGUACAGCUCAUUAUAUCAGUUAUAAUUUAUUUGAUGGUGAAUAUACUACAUGGAUAACCGUGGUAAUUCUAGAGCUAAUACAUGCGUAAAAUCCCAACUAACGAAGGGAUGUAUUUAUUAGAUACAACCGGCCGCUGCAAAGCGUUUUUUGUCGACUCAUAGUAACUAACGAAUCGCUCUUGUACUAGAGCGAUAGUUCAUUCAAAUUUCUGCCCUAUCAGCUUUCGACGGUAGUGUAGUGGACUACCGUGGCGUUAACGGGUAACGGAGAAUUAGGGUUCGAUUCCGGAGAGGGAGCCUGAGAAACGGCUACCACAUCCAAGGAAGGCAGCAGG
RNAcentral lists this ribosomal RNA (397 nucleotides) under uncultured Spongomonadidae. RNAcentral describes it as "partial small subunit ribosomal RNA". It matches the Rfam family "Eukaryotic small subunit ribosomal RNA", at positions 30 to 432 of the family's 1831-position model. The record is from RNAcentral. Lineage: Eukaryota; Cercozoa; Imbricatea; Spongomonadida.